RNAcentral lists this ribosomal RNA (2269 nucleotides) under Triticum aestivum (bread wheat). RNAcentral's name for it is "partial small subunit ribosomal RNA". Lineage: Eukaryota; Viridiplantae; Streptophyta; Magnoliopsida; Poales; Poaceae. The record is from RNAcentral.
UCCCUCAUCAUCAAAAGGAAAAAAAAGACUUGAGGUGCAUCGAGGAGCGGAACCCUAUCUUCACCGCCUUUUCUUCUCCGCCGGCAAAUAAACACUGAAACUGGAAUCCCACGCUUGUUCUUCACCAAUGAAGACAAUGCACAAGGCAACUGAAUCUGCUUAUGAUGAAGAUAAUAGUAAAGGUAAGGAUGUGCCAAGCAUGGAAGAAAACGACCCAUGGAAUCCUUCUUAUCCUCCUUGUGCUCCUGGUCCUGCUAAAGACUUGACUGACCAUAUCAAAUUAAUCAAGGAGUGGAUGUGUGAAAGACAUGCUUUCCUUGCUGUCUCCUGAGCAACCCAUACAAUCAUCCCAGACCGUACUCCUGAGCCAUUGAAUGAUGCCUUCGUCGAUAAAUUACCCCGCUUGGUGGCCAUCCUGGGGAAGGAUAGUGUCAGGCUUUUCCUCAACUUAUUCAAGGAUGACACACUGGGAUUGGCUUGGGGUUUCGUCAUAACCCCACAGACCUUCAAUCAGAUGAUUGUGCAAAAUGCCUUGCGAUGCGCGAAAGUUGCCUUGGAGGGCAAGGCUCCUGAGCUCAAUGGGCACCGCGCCAAUCCCAACUACAUGAAUUCAUGUGGGUACUUUCCCCUCCACCAAGCUGCUGAAAUGUUCUCUGCCGACAUGAUCAAAUUGCUCUUCCACUAUGGCGCAUCGGCCAAUUUGCGUACGUCUAGCCCUGAAGUCAUCGAGGGCCUACUCCCACUACAUGUUGCAGUUGAGAACGCUUGCCGGCAUAAGUUUCUUGAGGACAACCUAUUACCUGACAAAGAGAAUACCGACUAUGUCUACAUGCUCAUUCAACUGGUUUGCUUACCUGAAAUGAAGAUCUUCUUGGAUACAAUCAGACUGAUUGCAGAAAGAACAGAUGAUCUACUUGCUGUGCUCUGGAAAUACAUAUAGGAUGGAAAGCUUGCCGAAACAACAGUUUUGCUCCUGGCAGCUCAAAAGAAGAUCCGCGCGGGAUCUUCUUUCAAGACAACUGGCAAUAGCAAGACAGAUGGGUUUAGUAUUAUCUCAAAUCUAUGUACAAAGGAUCUUGUUGCCAUAGAUUUGGAGAUUGCUCAAAACAGAGCUGUGAAGAAGCAGCAGCUGAAGGCGGAGAAAAGGCUUAGGCGUAUGGCAUUGUUGCUUGUCAUUGUAAUUUCCGAAGCUGGUGAAGCUCUUGAUUCAUACAUUCGGGCGCAUCCAGAGGUGCCUUAUGCCACACAGGUGGCCCACGUCGAGGUCCUGAAACGUGUCUCAUCGAUUCUCAAGAACCGUCGUUUUUUUCCUACUGGAGAAUGCAUCAACAUAGGAAACAUCUGCCCCUAUGAUCAACAAUCGUCCAGGUUGUCCGGUGAAGAGUUGCCCAACAAAUAUGAUGGGUAUGCUACAGCUGAGAAGGCUGCCAGAAUGAAACAACCUAGAGGAUGGAAGCUCGAACAUGCAAGGAGAAGCUUCAUCCCAUGCUUGAAAUCAGUGUUAUCAUCAUCCAAGUUGGAAGCAAGGGCAUCUCCCAUAUAUCCCUUGAUAGAAAUCAAAAGCAUGAGAGAGACUGAGGAAAUUUGGAAUAAAUCAGCAACCGAAGGAUCCUCUUCAAUUCCAAAUAAAAAUCUUGGUUUGUUGGGAAGAGUUCUGCAAUUAACAAGUAGUCAUCAAUCCAGAAGGCUAUUCGGUACUGCUGCAUCGACGGUCUUGAAACUUUUAAAGCAUGCAUGAGUUGAGAGUUUCUCAGAAGAGAAGUUACUUCUCUCUCAUCAUUUUCAAGUCUGCUCAUUAUUGCUUCCAUGCUAUCUUAGCCGGUGUGGCUUUCGAUCUAUGCAGAUACAGAAGCGCCUGUUGUGACCUUAUGCACAGAUGUGGUGCAAACAUAUUUUAUUUCAGUGGCAUGCUCCUAACGUGCUUAAGCGCGCAUGUAUCCCUCACAUUUGCCUGGAUGUAUCUCUCGCAUUUGCCUGGAUUUAAACUCUAGCUACAUAUAGUAGCAUUUGAACCACUCUGACCCACUGAGCUUGCGUACAUGGUCGAUCGUGCAUUCCUUAGGAUAUUGAACAGUUUGCGUGUAUAUGAUUUUACUCCGCUUGGGGAUGCGGACUUAAAAAUUCUCGUAUGGAAACCAGUGCUACAAAUUUCUACUGAUCUCAUUGAAUUAACUGAAGCUUAAAAUAGAUUUUAUAGUCUGUAAGAUUUAAUAGGAUAUAUUUGAACUUGGAACGUAAGUUGUUUAAAUUUUAUUUUGGUUUGUGUCGG